This 680-nucleotide long non-coding RNA is filed under the name Daphnia pulex (common water flea). RNAcentral describes it as "uncharacterized LOC124198709, transcript variant X1". Lineage: Eukaryota; Metazoa; Arthropoda; Branchiopoda; Diplostraca; Daphniidae. The record is from RNAcentral.
AUCGCACAGGUCUGGCGCCACUUUUCCUCUCGCGCUUCCCUAUUACGCUAGUGUCGUCUGGUGGGGAACGGCGACAACUCUAUUUCUGUCAACACCAUUCUGCAUGCAAAAGGACUUAUGUAGUGCUCAUGUAAUCUCAAUUGUUAUUUUAUUAUUAAUCUAUGCAUUUUAAAGGUACUACAUCUUCUAAAUCCCUAAAAACUCAGUGAAGAUGAGACUAAGGUUACAAGAAUUACACCAUUCCCCCCUAAGUCUCAGGAAUACAUAGACAUUUGCAGCAGUGUGUACGUGGAAAGAUUAUUAUACCCCAUGCUUCAAUUGAAUGGAUUACCAGCAUAUUUUCUGAAUAUAUGGAGUGGUAGCAUAGCAUAUACUAAAUUCGAAGAUGCAACACGAAGAAGAAGCUGUGCAUUUGUGGAAUUUUGUGAUUCCGAGUCAGCUGCCAAAGCUGUCACAGAAUAUGCAGCCUCCAGCGAGUAUCAUGUAUUGACUGAAGAUCCAGGGCAGUCAUGUAGUAUUCAGGUGUUUGAUGCAGAGAGCCAAGACGAAAAGGGGGACAAGAAGAAAACGAGCACAAAACUAGACACGCGGAGGAAGCAGAUCAUUUCCAAGUUCCGUGUGUUGAAUGCUCAAGAAACAUUUUAAAUAUUAUUUGAGAAAUACAAAUUUUUAAACACGCA